Long non-coding RNA from Equus quagga, 524 nucleotides. RefSeq lists it as uncharacterized. The record is from RefSeq and is a predicted model, not a curated record. NCBI's taxonomy places the organism in Eukaryota, Metazoa, Chordata, Mammalia, Perissodactyla, Equidae. The transcript has 3 exons.
UCCUUAUGGGGGACCAACCUUGUGUAUCCGGGAGAUCCACGCUCCCAACUGGAGACACACGGGAAAUCAAGCCUCCAAAAAAGCGCUGCCUCCUAGCUCCACGAUGGGAUUAUCCAGAAGGAACCCCGAACGGAGUCUUUGAGGGAUUGCAGUAUGACUCCAUUUCCUUGGUGCAUUCAUAAAAUAGUUCAUCUAGUGAAGACAAUGAAGAUUGUUGGAAAUGCUACGCUACGUUUUCUGAUAUCCUGCACUGGGAAGUUGUGAUUUUUUAAGUAUUAUGAUAUAAUCAGCGUAAUUUCACCUCCUGCAUUUGGAUGAUUUCUGGGACAUGACCAAGGUCAGGCUGUGUACCUCUAAGAUUGAAGGCUAUGGCUUGGAUCAUGGUGAACUCACCAAAGCAAAUAACUCCUGUGAGAUGGUCCUGAAGCAACAGAUCAGUGCUCUCCUUUGGUGACACCUAGUCAUUUCUGUAUAACCUUGACUUCCUAUAAAUCCAUUAUGGUUCCAAUAAAUUUUAUCUCUCA